AGGUGGUGUGGCGCGAGGAGGCGCGGCUGCGGGGGCUGCCCCGGCUGUUCGACCCGCCCACCGCCUG
RNAcentral lists this transfer RNA (67 nucleotides) under Streptomyces hygroscopicus subsp. hygroscopicus. RNAcentral describes it as "tRNA-Pro". The record is from RNAcentral. Lineage: Bacteria; Bacillati; Actinomycetota; Actinomycetes; Kitasatosporales; Streptomycetaceae.